GGGGGCGUAAAGGUUUCGACGGGGGGAGCGAGGUCUGGGCAGCGGGUAGCAGCGGGGGAACUGCUCUAUAACUCCUCCAAACAAUUAACUGACAACAACAAUUAUCAGUUGCUCGCAGCCUGAGUGCUGCGCGUCUCGCCCACUCUUGUGUCGUGUGGGGCCGGGGCGUCCUUUAGACACAGCACCUGAACGGACUUAAGCUUUGCGGACCGGCAGGAACUCAUGAAGCUACCAAUGCGCUAGCCUGACGAUCGGCGUGGCGC
RNAcentral lists this transfer-messenger RNA (263 nucleotides) under Faecalibacterium sp. RNAcentral's name for it is "partial transfer-messenger RNA". It matches the Rfam family "transfer-messenger RNA", at positions 1 to 285 of the family's 374-position model. From Rfam's summary of the family: Bacterial tmRNA, also known as 10Sa RNA or SsrA, is named for its dual tRNA and mRNA-like properties. Its role is to liberate the mRNA from a stalled ribosome. To accomplish this part of the tmRNA is used as a reading frame that ends in a translation stop signal. The record is from RNAcentral. Lineage: Bacteria; Bacillati; Bacillota; Clostridia; Eubacteriales; Oscillospiraceae.